RNAcentral lists this long non-coding RNA (1202 nucleotides) under Triticum aestivum (bread wheat). RNAcentral describes it as "long non-coding RNA (TAES_LNC000700)". The record is from RNAcentral. Lineage: Eukaryota; Viridiplantae; Streptophyta; Magnoliopsida; Poales; Poaceae.
ACGAUGUACUUGAAGCAGAACCUUAUGCAGAUUAAGAAUGUGUGAUCCACAAUCUGUCUGCAUCUCCUGAUUGCCAGGCAAGCAUUAGCGAAGAAUCGACAUUGUUUUCAGCUGUAUGUUGGCGUGUAUUUGUUUGGUAGCUCGCAUAGUUUCGCCCGCUGUUUGCUGGUGAAGAAGCCAGUAUGCUGAGAAGUUCCUCUGCUCCCGUAGAAUAGGAUGUGUCCAUCUACUGCAAUUCAUUCAGAAAAAAACUUUUGUAACGAUCUGCAGCGGUGGAGAGGAGCACUAGCAGUCUAUCACCUACCAAUCCACUUGAAAUGUGCGGACGCAUGCAGCAAUCGCGGCUCUUCACUUGAAAUGUGUAACUGUGUAAUCAUAAGACCUGCAGAAAUAGAAGCACGCAUAUUAGGCGCCGAGGGAAAAUUCAGCAAUAAAUGUAAUCUAUGCUUCUCUUAUUCCUCUUUGAGAUCAGCAAAUCGGAAGGAGUUGGAGGAGGCGCAAUGCCCCUAACUUACCUCAAAUCCGUAAACUGCGACGAGCAGCAAAACACAACACGGACGGCUUGUCCUUCCUCCUCGUUGGUACUGGGCGAUCUUUUCGAUGUCGAUUGGGUUCCGCGACUCAAAGAUGAACUGGUGUGUGUCAUGCUAUAAUCACCUGUAGUGUAGGCAUCCGUUUGCUUCAAAUCAGCUGAUUAGCUCUUGGACUAGUGCCUGUCUGUUACUUGAAGCAGAACUUUAUGCAGAUUAAGAAUGUGUGAUCCAAUCUGUAUGCGUCUCCUGAUUGCCAGGCAAGCACUUGCGCCCCAGGAAGAAUGGAAAUUGUUUUCAGCUAUAUGUCGACGUGCAUUUGGUUGGAAGCUCGGGUAGUUUUCUCAUAACUCAUAUUGUUUGCUGGUGGAGAGGACAGUAUAGUUCAUGGUAUAAAACUCGGUCAGACAGGGCACCUCGUCACCCAAUUUUCACCCCUUGGAUCAGAACCUGACGGUGGAACACACAGUGAGAAGUGAUCCGUUAGGCUGUGACGUAUCUAUUGUAGUCAUCUAUCCGGAAAUCCAUCUACAACAAUUCAUUCAGAAAAAGAACUUGAUAACAAUCUACAUGGGUGCAGAGGAGCAUAAGACCUUCAGAAAAGUUCAGACACUUGCAUAACAAUCUUCACUUCCUAAUGCAAGAAAUCAAAUCGAAGCACAAGACCUGCAG